AUGCCCUUGCCCUUCUGUUCUAGUAGUACAUUGCAUUGCAGCUUUGUGUGGUACUGGUACUGUCUGCUGAAACAUGUCUGUGGAACUGCAGAGGCCGCCGUGGCGGGAGCCAAGGCCGCGGCCGUCGCCACCGUCGCUGCCGCAGUACCUACACUGGCGAGCGUGAGGAUGCUGCCGUGGGCGAGGGCGCACCUGAACCCCACAGGCCAGGCGCUCAUCAUCUCCACCGUCGCUGGGAUGGCCUACUUCAUCGUCGCCGACAAGACCAUCCUCUCCAUGGCCAGGAAGCACUCCUUCGACGACGCGCCAGACCACCUCAAGAACACCUCCUUCCACUAA
Molecule: ribosomal RNA, 339 nt
Filed under: Triticum aestivum (bread wheat)
Lineage: Eukaryota; Viridiplantae; Streptophyta; Magnoliopsida; Poales; Poaceae
Description: partial small subunit ribosomal RNA
Source: RNAcentral